This 98-nucleotide small nuclear RNA is filed under the name Cimex lectularius (bed bug). Lineage: Eukaryota; Metazoa; Arthropoda; Insecta; Hemiptera; Cimicidae. The record is from RNAcentral.
GUACUCGCUAAGGCGGUACAUAUCCUAAAAUUGGAACGAUACAGAGAAGAUUAGUAUGGCCCUCCACAAGGAUGAAUCGUGAAGCGAUCCACAUUUUC